GUUCCUUCAGGGGGAAAAAAAAUCUCCUAAUGUAAUUCAGUUGAGCUCCUCCCAUUUCUGACCUGUGAGUCAUGAUAAACCCUCCAGGGAGCUCCUGCUACUGACUCGAUCUCCCACAGACACUGUCAGUCUGAAGCAUCCACUGAGUAAUGUGAGUUCAUCCAGGAGGAAUCCACAAGAAAUGAUGAAUAUCCAGUUUAUCUUCACCUCACUCCUAGCCCUGGCCCUCUCAGGGCCUGGGGGAGCAGACUGGAUCAAACCCCAGGAGACAGAAGUGUCUGGAACAGAGGGAGAGAGUGUGAAGCUCCUUUGUAAUUAUGGUACCUCAUCUAGAGGUACUUUUGAUCUCUACUGGUUUCGACAGUACCCAAACCAGGCACUGGAAUUUAUUCUCUACAGAGGGUGGGGAUACACUGGAAAAGGAGACGCCGAAUUUGCCAUAGGAAAGUUUUAUUCAGACAGUUCCGCAGAUACAACAAAUUUGUACUUCAGAAAAUUGGAGUUUGCAGACACUGCCCGGUAUCACUGUGCUCUGAGAAAGCCACGCUGAGAGCUCUGCAUAGAGCAGCUGUACAAGAACACCAGCGCAUGGGAGGAAGGAGAAUGCAGCACCCAGCAUCACACGGACUUUUGUGUUGGUGGAGAUGAGAGGCCAAGUGAGGUGGA
Molecule: long non-coding RNA, 666 nt
Organism: Myotis davidii
Lineage: Eukaryota; Metazoa; Chordata; Mammalia; Chiroptera; Vespertilionidae
Exons: 3
Source: RefSeq, a predicted model, not a curated record